GUUAUCUGGCGUUACAUUCAGAGGUAAUCUUCGAGCACAGGUUAAUUUAAAGAUUGGACCGUACGAUUUUAUUCCGCAAGCAGAGAAUAUUAGAGAAAUGUAUCUUCCACUUGUAUGGCUGAAUGAGAGUGCAACCAUCCCGGUGGAAUAUUCGGAUCUAUAUCAUAAUUACAUUCAGAUUCCUCAGUAUGUAUUGCUUGCAAUCAUCGUACUACUCAUAUCAGUAGGGGGUGGCAUCGUCGUUGGUCUCAUCAAUUUCCUCGUCUGGCGAUCAUGGAGAGCAAGACAGAACGGAUUACAUGGUGAUUUA
This is a long non-coding RNA of Lytechinus pictus (painted urchin), 310 nucleotides long. RefSeq lists it as uncharacterized. The record is from RefSeq and is a predicted model, not a curated record. NCBI's taxonomy places the organism in Eukaryota, Metazoa, Echinodermata, Echinoidea, Temnopleuroida, Toxopneustidae. The transcript is spliced from 3 exons.